GGAUGCGAUUAUACCUGCACUAACGCUCCGGAUCCCAUCAGAACUCCGAAGGUAAGCGCGUUGGGGUGAGUGUAGUACUAGGAUGGGUGACCCCUUGUGAAUUUCUCGUGUUGCAUCCC
Capsicum annuum is the source of this 119-nucleotide ribosomal RNA. The record is from RefSeq and is a predicted model, not a curated record. NCBI's taxonomy places the organism in Eukaryota, Viridiplantae, Streptophyta, Magnoliopsida, Solanales, Solanaceae.